This 2555-nucleotide long non-coding RNA is filed under the name Salmo salar (Atlantic salmon). RNAcentral's name for it is "lncRNA (ENSSSAG00000082938.1)". The record is from RNAcentral. Lineage: Eukaryota; Metazoa; Chordata; Actinopteri; Salmoniformes; Salmonidae.
CUGCCUACAUAUAUUGUUUGGAUGGAGCUCUAACAUCAGAGCAGGUUUCCAGAGUUACAAUAACAGAAAGGAAUGCAUUAGGAUAAUUAGUGUCGUCUCUAGUUCCCCCGGGUUGGGCCCCCUCAGCGGGGAAGGCCCUCUCCAAAUGAAUGAAAAGAAACCAAUUCAAAUCAAGCUGCAUAGGUUAUCAGAUGAAAAUAACACAUAUCCCCAUUAAAAUCAAUAGUGAUUGCAUUAUCACAGAGGGUAUUUUCUCUGAUCUGAUGCAGCGCGAGGCACAACAAGCUAUGUAUAAAUAGGGCAUGUUUGCCCUGCCGACUACGCCAGUUAUUCUGACGGGGGAAAUGUACUCUACAUACUUGUGUUUCUUGCUUUUAGAAAUACCUCUCUUGAACAGAUCUAAUCAUGUAAGACAGGAGUUUACACCUGCAGUUGCAUUUGCUCCAUGUGAAUAUAAGACAUGGCAGAUAAUGUUUGUACAAUGUGAGCUGUGCUGUAUCCCACAACCUAUUAGGGCCCGGGGCAAUACUCGUUAGUAUCAUGGCAAGAAAACAAAACAAAAAGUGGAUUUAACUUCUUUAGGAAAACAGCCCUAAUGUUGGAAACAUCAUAAUGUUGUCAUCCAGAGUCACAUGUAUUUAUUUUCCAAGCUAUAGCACACAGUAUUUUAUAUAGAGCAGGUUUUUAAAGGACCAAAGAGUCUGUGUCAUGUUUUCAUUACUGCCACGGAAAAAAUAUUGCGAUACUGGUUUUGUUCCGGCCCUACUACCUAUGGAUCCAUUCGUUGACUCACUUCAAAUGGCUUCUAAGAGGUUCUAAUACGGUGCUUUUCUAUGUCCAAUAGUUUACAGUUGUUUUGACUCAUUCUGGAUGGUCCACUGUUAACUCAUGUCUAUGGAAAUAAAAUGAAUGUAAUAACAGAUUGAAAUGUAAAAAUAGUAAUAAUAACCUCUUCUACUGAGGAACAGCUUGUGAACCAUCAGAAAAUCAUCUAAAACAACAAUCACCGUUUCAAGAAUCAAAAGGAGACAUUUUUCAAAUUAAAUGAGGAUUUUGUGAGGGAAUGGUUUAUCAAAAGAGUAAAUCCAUUUUUAAAUGAAUGUCUUUUUGGUUUCACUAACUGUUCAUUAGCGAGUGUUGAGAAGUAUGUAAUAGGAACAUUUUCCAUCUCUGAACAAUAUUCUUCAAUUAGACCUUUGGAAUACUUGUACCGCAUGUAAGCUGUGUUCUUGACACGCAUUUCUGCACACAUGCCAGAAGUAACACAACCAAUGCCAGUCUUUCCAACACUGGCUCAAAAAACAAGAAUUCUGAGCGCUUAUCUUUAUUAAAAGCUGUAUAUCUGAAAUGGGGACAUUUGCACGACAGACUGCUACAGACUGUUAUGUAGCCUGUGCGUUGUUGUUGCCGUGAAACCUGGAUCGAGCGCACUUCCAGGCGCAGAUUGAUAAAGCAAUCUGCAUAUUUUACACAUAAACAGGAAGCAAAUGUUUGGUGGGAAUUGUAGGGCACUGCAUCUACACCUAGAAGAAGCCAUACACAACAUGACCCAUUCUGUAAGGCUGAGAAGCAAACUGAGAAGAGUGGAAGAUGCUGAAUAUAUCACGGCCAGAGCUUUAAAACUUGCCUCAAAGUGCUUCUAAAGUUACGUUUUUUUCUCUCGUUUUUAUUUUAGAUUUUUGAGUCAUAUAAUUUGAUGUACAGACCAGAUGGCAUGGGAAAUGGACAUUCUCAGUGUAAUAAAUGGAAUCAUCUCAACAAACUACGAGUUCGGAGUGAAUCCUCACUUUAAGAUGCAGCAUUCAGAACAGCAUUCAGAACAGUCGUUUAGCCGAGGUCAGGUGUUGUUCGGCUAAAUGAGGUCAGGUGUUGUUCAGCUAAACGAGGUCAGGUGUUGUUCGGCUGAAUGAGGUCAGGUGUUGUUUGGCUAAAUGAGGUCAGGUGUUGUUCAGCUAAACGAGGUCAGGUGUUGUUCGGCUGAAUGAGGUCAGGUGUUGUUCAGCUAAACGAGGUCAGGCGUUGUUCGGCUGAACGAGGUCAGGCGUUGUUCGGCUGAACGAGGUCAGGCGUUGUUCGGCUGAACGAGGUCAGGCGUUGUUCGGCUGAACGAGGUCAGUCGUUGUUCGGCUGAACGAGGUCAGGUGUUGUUCGGCGGUCACUAGCGGUCAGUAGGACACAGCGGUCACUAGGACAGGCUAGUAAAUCACAUAAAGGCAGGCGCUAAAACAACAGGUGGACAUGCCCUGAGGAAUGCAUGUGCACAGACACACACAUGUCUACAAUGCACAUACAGACAUGCACACACACAUGCUUACUAUACGUACUGUACAGACACACAUUACCCACACACACACACAUGCUUAAUAUAUAUACAUACUGUACAUACACACAUUACCCACACACACACACAUACACAUGCUUACUAUAUGUACUGUACAGACACACAUUACCCACACACACACACACACACACACACACGCUUACUAUAUAUACAUACUAUACAUACACACAUACACAUGCUUACUAUACAUACUGUACAUACACACAUUACCCCC